CCGUUCUUAAACCUUUAGGAAAUAGAUAGAUAAGUUGGUGAACAGAAAUAAAUAGAUAAAUGAAAGGUGAUCUCGUGCUAGUCCCUUCCGAAGAUGAUAAGAACGGAUCGAGAUUAUUUUAUUCACCAGCAGUGUCAAUAUGGUUCACAACUACAAAAACAAAUCAAUAUUAAUUAAUUUUGGUAAUUAAAGAAGAAAUAUAAUGUGGCGACAAAAAGAGAGGCAGAAAUAUAAUAUAGGGUAUCAAAAGUUAUGCCUUUAACGACCCUACCUGCCUUUAAUAUAUUGUCUGGAUUCACAGACCAUGGACGUGCUUCACAUUUUUAAACUUUGUAACAG
Molecule: long non-coding RNA, 339 nt
Filed under: Eutrema salsugineum
Lineage: Eukaryota; Viridiplantae; Streptophyta; Magnoliopsida; Brassicales; Brassicaceae
Description: long non-coding RNA (ESAL_LNC000607)
Source: RNAcentral